UACGGGGGGGGGCAAGCGUUGUUCGGAAUUACUGGGCGUAAAGGGCUCGUAGGUGGCCAACUAAGUCAGACGUGAAAUCCCUCGGCUUAACCGGGGAACUGCGUCUGAUACUGGAUGGCUAGAGAUUGGGAGAGGGAUGCGGAAUUCCAGGUGUAGCGGUGAAAUGCGCAGAUAUCGGGAAGAACACCCGUGGCGAAGGCGGCUCUCUGGGACGGUACUGACGCUGAGACGCGAAAGCGUGGGGAGCGAACAGG
Molecule: ribosomal RNA, 254 nt
Filed under: uncultured bacterium
Lineage: Bacteria
Description: partial 16S ribosomal RNA
Rfam family: Bacterial small subunit ribosomal RNA
Source: RNAcentral